AAGACAGGUCUAGGACAAAGAAGGCUGCUAACUCUCUCAUCCAUGGUUCGAGUCCAUGGCUUUCUUA
This 67-nucleotide transfer RNA is filed under the name Gymnura zonurus (zonetail butterfly ray). RNAcentral's name for it is "tRNA-Ser". Lineage: Eukaryota; Metazoa; Chordata; Chondrichthyes; Myliobatiformes; Gymnuridae. The record is from RNAcentral.